This 449-nucleotide ribosomal RNA is filed under the name uncultured bacterium. Its description in RNAcentral is "partial 16S ribosomal RNA". It matches the Rfam family "Bacterial small subunit ribosomal RNA", at positions 29 to 523 of the family's 1533-position model. The record is from RNAcentral.
AACGGACGCUGGCGGCAGGCCUAACACAUGCAAGUCGAACGCUGUAGCAAUACAGAGUGGCAGACGGGUGAGUAACACGUGGGAAUCUUCCUAUCGGUACGGAAUAGCUCAGGGAAACUUGGGGUAAUACCGCAUACGCCCUUCGGGGGAAAGAUUUAUCGCCGAUAGAUGAGCCCGCGUCUGAUUAGCUAGUUGGUGAGGUAAUGGCUCACCAAGGCGACGAUCAGUAGCUGGUCUGAGAGGAUGACCAGCCACACUGGGACUGAGACACGGCCCAGACUCCUACGGGAGGCAGCAGUGGGGAAUAUUGGACAAUGGGCGCAAGCCUGAUCCAGCCAUGCCGCGUGAGUGACGAAGGUCUUCGGAUUGUAAAGCUCUUUUGGCGGGGACGAUAAUGACGGUACCCGCAGAAUAAGCCCCGGCUAACUUCGUGCCAGCAGCCGCAGUAA